Molecule: non-coding RNA, 246 nt
Filed under: Bacillus sp. (in: firmicutes)
Lineage: Bacteria; Bacillati; Bacillota; Bacilli; Caryophanales; Bacillaceae
Description: Bacillus sp. T-box sequence
Rfam family: T-box leader
About the family: Uncharged tRNA acts as the effector for transcription antitermination of genes in the T-box leader family. T-boxes are found upstream of many aminoacyl-tRNA synthetase genes and some amino acid biosynthetic genes usually in Gram-positive bacteria.
Source: RNAcentral
GUAAAUACAGUGACAGGGAAGAGUACAAUGCCAGGCUCCUUUAGAGAGGGAAACCAUCAGCUGAAAGGUUUCUCAGGAUCGUCGGAUUGGAAGGUCGCCCUCGAGUAGUUUCAGCGAACGCAAUUUGUGAGUAGUUGAAACCGGUGGAGAGCCGUUAACAGAUUUGAGUGUACAGGGGAUAGUUUAUCUAUUUUCACCCUGUAAAAAAAGGUGGUACCGCGAAACUUAACUCCUUUCGUCCUUUUA